Molecule: non-coding RNA, 22 nt
Filed under: Arabidopsis thaliana (thale cress)
Lineage: Eukaryota; Viridiplantae; Streptophyta; Magnoliopsida; Brassicales; Brassicaceae
Source: RNAcentral
UAAAACGACUCUCGGCAACGGA